RNAcentral lists this ribosomal RNA (253 nucleotides) under uncultured bacterium. Its description in RNAcentral is "partial 16S ribosomal RNA". It matches the Rfam family "Bacterial small subunit ribosomal RNA", at positions 524 to 776 of the family's 1533-position model. The record is from RNAcentral.
UACGGGGGGGGCAAGCGUUGUUCGGAAUUACUGGGCGUAAAGGGCUCGUAGGUGGCCAACUAAGUCAGACGUGAAAUCCCUCGGCUUAACCGGGGAACUGCGUCUGAUACUGGAUGGCUUGAGUUUGGGAGAGGGAUGCGGAAUUCCGGGUGUAGCGGUGAAAUGCGUAGAUAUCCGGAGGAACACCGGUGGCGAAGGCGGCUUCCUGGACCGACACUGACGCUGAGGCGCGAAAGCGUGGGGAGCAAACAGG